CACUUGAACCCGGGAGGUGGAGGUUGCAGUCAGCUGAGAUCUCACCACUGCACUCCAGCCUGGAUGACAGCAAGACUCUAUCUCAAAAAACAAACAAACAAAACCAAAACAGUAUCUCAUGCUUCUUAUUGGCUGUGACCAAGUAACUUCAUUGCUUUCAACCUUGAUCUGCUCACCUGUAAAACUGAGACCUUAUUAUUUGUUGUGAGAUUUAAAACACAAACAUGUUCAUUUCCUUCCUCUUUGGGGCUCAGAAGGAAUCAGAUGGGCGUCUUGCAGCUCCGAGCCUGAUGAAGAAUUGUAGCUGCUGUGCCUCAAGACAGAUAAGCACAGGUGGUCCCAGUGGGGAUGCCACCUUGGGGACUGUGAACCUCCGCUGAGGCCAGGCCGUGCCCUGUGUCUGUAUCCCGAACUGCGGGAUUUCUCUGAUCCGCCAGGGAAAGGCCUGCCACCUCGUGGCCGCUUCAGGAACUGCUCCAAAGGCAGUCUGCUCUUGGGAACCUACCUGCUUAGGUAGCUCGCUGAGGUCUGGAACUGCAGCACAGUGCAAGUUAUCUUCACGUGGAGGUGAAGCUGCCUGUGUGGAAGACUCUUGGAUCAGUCGUCUGAGCACAUGUCCAGCAAUGGGCAUGAGUGGCCUAGCCAGGGACUUGGGGUGCCGGAAGAGCCGACUGUACAGCACGUGGUGCCCCUAGCAAGGAUUGGGUGGUGGUUAAAAAGGAAAAAACGUCGUGCAGAUGGUCUGACGGCCUGUCGACCGUGGGCGUGGUGCUCAUAGCAGCUGAGCACUGCCGGGGUACCAGGCUGUGUGCUGGAUGCUUCAAAGGUGUCCUCUUGUGGAUCAGCCCAACUGUGGCGAGGAGGGGACUGGGCUCAGCCAGGUUAGAUGUGACUUGCACAAGGUCAUGUGGGUGAAAGGAAGGCAGAAUUCUUAUGUAUUUCUCCUGACUGAUCCCAGGUUUUGCGUCAGGACUGAAGACAGAACCCACAUGUGUCCAGCACAGGGUGAUUGCUGCCAUGAGCGGCAUUGCUCUGACCCUUCGGUGAGGGCACGGAUUUUCAUCCUUGUAUUCGACUUUGAAAGAAGCAAAUUUAGAAAGAUACAAAUAUGAUGGGCAUGGCAGACGGAAUUCUAAAGGUGGGCCCACUGACUCGUACCCCUGGCUGUUCAGUGAAACACUAGCCUAGAUGCUGCUGUGCAGGGACUUUGAUGAAGGAAUGAAAGUCCCAAGCCAUCUGACCUUGAGAUCAGAGAUGAUCUGGUGGGCUUGAUCUCCUGAGCCUAAUGAAAGCAAGGAGCUUUUCCAGCUGUCAGCAGAAAGGAAGGUCAAAUUCAAUGUGUGAGAAAGACUGGAAUUAACAUGUCUGGUUUGAAGGAGGAAGGGGUUGUGUGGGAAGGUGUGUGGGUGACUUAUAGGAGCAAGGAGUGGCCCCCAGCCAUGGAAUGAGGACCCCAGGCCUGCAGCCACCAGGAGCUGGACUUUCGGGGCCACCUGAAUGCAACUGGAAGCGGAUGCUCCCCCAGAGCCUCCAGUUGCUACAAUCAACAUCCCCGGACCCAUCACACAGAAGAAACCAAGGCUCCCAGGUUAAGAGACUUGCCUGGAAAAGCGUUAACUGACAGCUUGGCAGCAGAGCCACCACUCCUUCCCCCUCGCAUGCUGGUUCCAAACCGAAAAUGAUGUUCUGGCACUCUAGCAGAGCUUUGAUCCCUGCUGAAUACAGUCUGCACGCAGGAAGUGUGAGCUGGUUCUGAUAUUGGUGGAACAGCUGGACUGUAAACCUGCAGCAUGGGAGUCCUCAGGAGCUGCCUCAUUUAGAAGCAUCCGGGCUGUCAUCGUUUUGACCUUGUGCCUCUCUAACCGAGAAAUGACAGAGCCGAGCAAAGCCGGGAAAGAUGCAGGAACGAGGCCUGGCAGCCCUGAAUCAGUUUCUCCAAGAAACAGGCCUGAGGUUUGAAGCGAUUCAGGUUAGAAAUCAAUGAGGAGAUUUUUUUUGGUCUCCACUAAUUUAUUAGAUAAUCAGGUGAAAUCCAAGUGUACCAUGCUAAAGAUGUCUGAACGUUAAAAUUGCUUUUUCGUUUUUGAUGGGCCAUUGGACUCCUGGGCAUCUACCCAAAGGAGCUGCAAGUAGGGACUUGAGCAGACACGUCUUUGCCGGUGUUCACGACAGCACGGUUCACACUGUCCAGGAGGUGAAAACAACCCAGAUGGCCAGCAGUGAUGACCAGACACACAAAACGUGGUGUAAACAUACAGUGGAAUAUUAUUCAGCCUUAAAAAAGAACGAAAUUCUGACACGUUCUGCAACAUGGAUGAGCCUUGAGGAGAUUACACUCAGUGAAAUAAGCCCGACGCAAAAGAGCAACGAUUGUCCGCUGAUAUGAAAUAUCCAGACUAGGCAGGUAUUACACAGAGACAGAAAGUAGAACGGUGGGUGUCGGGGCUGGGGGAGGGCGGCCGGGAGUUAGUGUUUAAUGGGGACAGAGUUUCUGUUUGGGAAGACGAGAACGUCCUGGAGAUGGAUAGCAAUGUGAGUGUGCUUAAUGCCCCUGAACUGUACACCUAAAAGUGGCUAAGAUGGCAAAUUUUAUGUUAGAUAUAGUUUGCUGCAAUUAAAAAAAUUAAUAAUGUAAAAACCUACCUGGGAUGGGUUUGCAAAAGUUCUGCCAGAAACAGGAAUGGAUGUGUUUAGGAGAAUCUGGGCAGAGAGCCAGGAAUGGAAGCCAGUUAAACCUCUUUGAGAACUCGUACUUCGGCAGUUUUAAUUUCUUGUAAGUAGUAAAAUAUAUAAGACCAACAAAUUAAAUGCUUCUCCCCAAAACAAAAUUGGCACAAUUUAUGACUCAUUUACAUUGUAAAUCUACAAUUAAGAUGGGAAAUGAACCAAUUCUGGCCACCUGAACUGGUGAGACAAGUUGAAUUUUGUCCCCCAAAAUUCAUAUGUUGAAAUUCAAACUCCCAGCAUCCCAGAAUGUGACCUGAUUUGGAGAUGGGGCCUCUGCUGAGACAAUCAACUUAAAAUGAAAUCAUUAGGGUGGGCCUUAAUCCAGGAGGACUGGUGUCCUUAUAAAGAGGAGCGAUUUGGAGAGACACACACCGGGAGAGCGCCACAUGAAGAUGAAGGCAGAAAGUGGGGAGAUGCUUUCAUAAGCCAAAGACUGCCCAGGCUUGUGAGCAAAAACAGCCUCCGGAAGCUGGAAGAGAGCCUUGCAACAGAUUCCUCCUAGCACCCCUAGAAGGAACCCCCACUGCCAACAUCUUGAUUUGGAACUUGCAGCCUCCGAAACUGUGAGAUGAUAAAUUUCUGUUGUUGAAGCCACCCAGUUGGUGGUACUUUGUUACAGCAGCCUUAGAAACUAAUACAAGUACAUAAAACACCAGAAAGAUUUUCCCUUUCCCUGUAUUGUGUUCGGAUUUCCCACUGCUCAUAAAGACUCCCCUCAUAUUGGCUUAGGGCCUGCCAUAAUCUCCAGUGUGAUCUCAUCUUAACUCGUGACAUCUGCACAGCCCCGUUCCCAAUAAGGUCAGAAGGACAGGUAGUGAAGGUUAGGACUUCAACAUGGUUUUUGAGGAUCCUAGUCAACCCAUAACAGUCCACACUCAGGUUCCUUCAAAUUCAUGUCCUUCCCACAGGCGAAAUGCCUUCACCCCAUCCUAACAUUCCCCAAGGUCUUAAGUCUUCUAGAGUCAACUCUGGGUCCAAAAUCUCAUCGAACUCCCAUGAUUAACUCAAAGUCCCAAAUCUCUGUCCUCCUCUGUUGUUUCGGGCCUUGCACAGAGGAGUGCCUGGUGAACAUGUGGUGGAGGAUACAGAAACCCACGUGGAUUCCAGGUGGUGACUUUUGUGUCAUUACAGAAGUCUAGUGCACAUUAGGAAGACAGUGCCAAUGGUCUUGACUUAACGUUUACUGCACACCUACUGUGUGCAGGGGUCCUGGGGACCCCACAGAUGAAAACAUAAGCACAUGAUCAGAAUACAGUGUAAAGCUGGGCUUCAUCUAUUACAGUGGGCACCAUACAGUUUUACACUCGUGUACCUAAAACAACCCGGACAAGGCACAGGAUUGAUUUUCAAUUUUGUAAAACAGAGCAAAAGUGCUUUUAUUGAUGUUUCGUUUCUUUUUCCUGAGAUCUUACCUCCCUAGACAGAACUAAAAACUGUUUUUAUAUUAAAGGUCUGUGCUUCAGACUUUAAAAAUAUCUGUAGAAUCUGUAAUAAAGUUAUCCAUUUCAUUUAUGAUAAUG
Molecule: long non-coding RNA, 4247 nt
Organism: Rhinopithecus roxellana (golden snub-nosed monkey)
Lineage: Eukaryota; Metazoa; Chordata; Mammalia; Primates; Cercopithecidae
Exons: 3
Source: RefSeq, a predicted model, not a curated record